Molecule: unclassified non-coding RNA, 357 nt
Filed under: soil metagenome
Description: partial contains 5.8S ribosomal RNA, internal transcribed spacer 2, and large subunit ribosomal RNA
Rfam family: 5.8S ribosomal RNA (bases 1-120)
Source: RNAcentral
GAUGAAGAACGUAGCGAAAUGCGAUAAGUAAUGUGAAUUGCAGAAUUCAGUGAAUCAUCGAAUCUUUGAACGCACAUUGCGCCCGUUAGCAUUCUAGCGGGCAUGCCUGUCCGAGCGUCAUUUCAACCCUCAGGGUCCCCGUUCCGGCGGGGAACCUGGUGUUGGGGAUCGGCCCGCCCCGUGCGGCGCCGUCCCCCAAAUUCAGUGGCGGUCGCGCUGCAGCCUCCCCUGCGUAGUAGUUACAACCUCGCAUCGGAGCUCAGCGCGGCCACGCCGUAAAACCCCCGACUUUCUGAACGUUGACCUCGGAUCAGGUAGGAAUACCCGCUGAACUUAAGCAUAUCAAUAAGCGGAGGA